Molecule: non-coding RNA, 72 nt
Organism: Ictidomys tridecemlineatus (thirteen-lined ground squirrel)
Lineage: Eukaryota; Metazoa; Chordata; Mammalia; Rodentia; Sciuridae
Source: Rfam
GGGAGUGGACCUCAGUGGUAGAGCACUCACCUAGCAUGUGCAAGGCCCUGAGUUCAAACCUCAGCACCACCA